Molecule: ribosomal RNA, 114 nt
Filed under: Colletotrichum tofieldiae
Lineage: Eukaryota; Fungi; Ascomycota; Sordariomycetes; Glomerellales; Glomerellaceae
Source: RNAcentral
AUACGACCAUACCCACUGGAGAACUCGGGAUCCCGUCCGCUCUCCCAUAGAUAAGCCAGUGAGGGCCGGAUUAGUAGUUGGGUCGGUGACGACCAGCGAAUACCUGGUGUUGUG